Molecule: ribosomal RNA, 211 nt
Filed under: Bacteroides ovatus
Lineage: Bacteria; Pseudomonadati; Bacteroidota; Bacteroidia; Bacteroidales; Bacteroidaceae
Description: partial 16S ribosomal RNA
Rfam family: Bacterial small subunit ribosomal RNA
Source: RNAcentral
GAACUGAGACACGGUCCAAACUCCUACGGGAGGCAGCAGUGAGGAAUAUUGGUCAAUGGGCGAGAGCCUGAACCAGCCAAGUAGCGUGAAGGAUGAAGGCUCUAUGGGUCGUAAACUUCUUUUAUAUGGGAAUAAAGUUUUCCACGUGUGGAAUUUUGUAUGUACCAUAUGAAUAAGGAUCGGCUAACUCCGUGCCAGCAGCCGCGGUAAU